CAUUACUGUGAUUAUACCAACACCACACUGUGUGGGCGCACAAAACACCUAAACCUGGAGUAUACACACGUCAACAAAAGAUCUAAAAGAAUAAAACUUUCAACAACGGAUCUCUUGGUUCUCGCAUCGAUGAAGAGCGCAGCGAAAUGCGAUACCUAGUGUGAAUUGCAGCCAUCGUGAAUCAUCGAGUUCUUGAACGCACAUUGCGCCCGUCGGUAUUCCGGCGGGCAUGCCUGUCUGAGCGUCGUUUCCUUCUUGUGCACCGCGGGGUCUUUGCAGAUCCUCUCUGCGCAGAGCUGGCCGUGCCACUGGCCCGGCCGAAAAGAAACGUUGCGGACGAAGCGAACUACAUCGGGACGCUUUGGCCGCCGAGCGAAAAAAAAACCCAUUGAGCUCGACCUCAGAUCAGGUAGGAGUACCCGCUGAACUUAAGCAUAUCAAA
RNAcentral lists this unclassified non-coding RNA (442 nucleotides) under Pichia membranifaciens. RNAcentral describes it as "sequence contains ITS1, 5.8S rRNA gene and ITS2". The stretch from base 95 to 247 matches the Rfam family "5.8S ribosomal RNA". Lineage: Eukaryota; Fungi; Ascomycota; Pichiomycetes; Pichiales; Pichiaceae. The record is from RNAcentral.